UGUGAUAAGAUUGAGUAGCUUAGUGCAUGUUAAGUUUAGAGGGUUUGAGGGGAAAGCUAAGGAGUUUUCUUCGGGAAAUGGAGAGUAGAAGAUUGGAGAAUGAAUGAGAGGGGAGUGUGAAAAAAAAGGAAGGGUAGAGGUGGCGCUAAGGGAUCAACGAAGCUGUGAAGACUAAUAUGCUUGGUAACUAUGAUGGAGGGAGGAAGGGGGAGAGGAAAGGAGAGGAGAACAGUACACAAUCUUAAUCAAUAGUUAGUUGAAUUAUUUCAUGGAAUGUAAGGGGUAUCA
This 288-nucleotide long non-coding RNA is filed under the name Carica papaya (papaya). RNAcentral's name for it is "long non-coding RNA (CPAP_LNC005735)". The record is from RNAcentral. Lineage: Eukaryota; Viridiplantae; Streptophyta; Magnoliopsida; Brassicales; Caricaceae.